Molecule: transfer RNA, 71 nt
Filed under: Marmota monax (woodchuck)
Lineage: Eukaryota; Metazoa; Chordata; Mammalia; Rodentia; Sciuridae
Description: tRNA.Ala
Rfam family: tRNA (bases 6-66)
About the family: Transfer RNA (tRNA) molecules are approximately 80 nucleotides in length.
Source: RNAcentral
GGAGUUGUGGCUCAGUGGUAGAGCGCUUACAUAGCAUGUAUGAGGCACUGGGUUCGAUUCUCAGCACUGCA